Molecule: unclassified non-coding RNA, 292 nt
Filed under: plant metagenome
Description: partial contains small subunit ribosomal RNA, internal transcribed spacer 1, and 5.8S ribosomal RNA
Rfam family: 5.8S ribosomal RNA (bases 244-292)
Source: RNAcentral
UUUCCGUAGGUGAACCUGCGGAAGGAUCAUUAAUGAGUUGUCAUGGGGUUCGAUGCUGGCAGCCAGUUUUUGGAUGCAUGUGCUUGCCCUAACAAUCAUCUUCUUCCAAACACCUGUGCACAUUUUUGAGGGAGUCUUGAGUUGGUUGCCGCUCUUGGGUGAUUUUCUCACAUUCCCUUAAAUCAUUAUACGCUAUUAACAAUGUUGAACGUGCUCUGUGCCGCAAGGCCAUUAAUAUAAUACAACUUUUAACAACGGAUCUCUUGGCUCUCGCAUCGAUGAAGAACACAGC